UUUCAGUCAUUCUUUUAUUUGUGAACAUGGAAAUUGUACUGAACUGAUGUUAAUAUAUUUGUGCAAAAGUGCAACCAUUUUGUGUUUGUGCCUAGAUGUUAUCCUGCAAGGGAACUCGUCCAGCUUCAGACAUGAAGUACUGAGCAAACUUCUCCCUCACUGCCAAAACAUCUCUGCCAGCAUUGUUGGUGCCAAGGCGAGGUGCGUUCUGGAGACCUUGUGAUGGCUCAGCUGUGAAUGUUCCAGUAGAUGACCUAGCCGGUAUUGUAGUGCUGGCAUCCCACCUCAGAAAGUUAUGCAGCAUGCAGGUGGCCUUUACCACGUUCUCUGACACUUCUGGAGAGACACACAGCACCCGACGUGUUGUAGCCAGGGUAUGGGCGCAUGAUGUUACGGCGCAAGGGGAAGGCUUCGUCUGCCAGAAACACAUGAGGCAUCGGGCCAAGAUGUUCUGCCCCUGGGAGGAUGGAGUCAUCCGGGAUACCCAAUGUGUUCUGCCGUAGGGCAGUACCAAAAGCGGAGGAGGAGAGGGUUCCCCCAUCACUGUUUCUUCCAUAGGCCCCGAUGUCAACAAGCCUGAAACAGUACCUGGCGUCGACUACAGCCAGAA
Gadus macrocephalus (Pacific cod) is the source of this 610-nucleotide long non-coding RNA. RefSeq lists it as uncharacterized. The record is from RefSeq and is a predicted model, not a curated record. The transcript has 2 exons. Lineage: Eukaryota; Metazoa; Chordata; Actinopteri; Gadiformes; Gadidae.